RNAcentral lists this transfer RNA (109 nucleotides) under Penicillium nalgiovense. RNAcentral describes it as "tRNA-Arg". The record is from RNAcentral. Lineage: Eukaryota; Fungi; Ascomycota; Eurotiomycetes; Eurotiales; Aspergillaceae.
GCCCGGCUGGCGCAAUCGGCAGCGCAUAUGACUUCUACUUUCUCCCUUUUUUUCCAAAGGGAGAAAGGGAGGUAAUCAUGAGGUUCCCGGUAGAGCCCGGGGUUGGGCU